This 253-nucleotide ribosomal RNA is filed under the name uncultured bacterium. RNAcentral describes it as "partial 16S ribosomal RNA". It matches the Rfam family "Bacterial small subunit ribosomal RNA", at positions 524 to 776 of the family's 1533-position model. The record is from RNAcentral.
UACGAAGGGUGCAAGCGUUACUCGGAAUUACUGGGCGUAAAGCGUGCGUAGGUGGUCUGUUAAGUCUGAUGUGAAAGCCCUGGGCUCAACCUGGGAAUUGCAUUGGAUACUGGCAGGCUAGAGUGCGGUAGAGGGUAGUGGAAUUCCCGGUGUAGCAGUGAAAUGCGUAGAGAUCGGGAGGAACACCAGUGGCGAAGGCGACUUCCUGGCCUGUUCUUGACGCUGAGGCGCGAAAGCUAGGGUAGCAAACGGG